Molecule: transfer RNA, 79 nt
Filed under: Microbacterium ginsengisoli
Lineage: Bacteria; Bacillati; Actinomycetota; Actinomycetes; Micrococcales; Microbacteriaceae
Description: tRNA-Ala
Source: RNAcentral
GCGUGCGCUGACGACACCGGCGGCGCGCAGCUUCGCGAGCUGCUGGCUCGUCGCGGGGAUCGUCGCCCCGGUGCGCUCA